This 1871-nucleotide long non-coding RNA is filed under the name Homo sapiens (human). Its description in RNAcentral is "LNC_000573". Lineage: Eukaryota; Metazoa; Chordata; Mammalia; Primates; Hominidae. The record is from RNAcentral.
AAGAAGUACUUUAAUAGCUCAAACUCAGAGUCAUCGUGCUCCCAAUUCCAAAGAGAUUCCUAAAAGAGGCAACUUCGGCCGUUUGAGAAGCCAGCGCUCACCCACCCGGGGUCUCUGUGCAUUGACCUUUGGGUGCUGACUUGGAGAAAAGCACAAACACGACCAGUCCCAUCCUGGCUCCCGUGGGGCUUCUUCUAUCUACGCAUUGUAUCGACUGCAUUAGUUGGACUAAGAUGAUGACUCAGUUAAAGGAGGAGACAAAUGCUGACUGUCUAAGCAAGAAUGGCCCAAGCUGGCAAGAAAAAGCACACUGCAUACAUAGGAUACAGAAGGGCAGAGCUUCUGCCUGCGGAUCUGCAACAUUACAUUUGUUUUGCCUGCAAACUAUCAAGAAGGAUUCUGUUGGCCAGGGAGUCUCCACUGAACAAACAAAAUGGCAGUCAAAAGUCUUGAGUGUCCUAUUCCAGCAGCCCAGAGUCCUCAUCCGUCAUCCACGGGAGAGUCUUUGAGGGAAACAUGAAGUCCAGCUCAUGCCUCUGCCUAUGGGUCAAUUUCUUCGGGAAUCACUGUGAUCAUGAUAUCUUCAUUACCCCUGCGGACCACCAUGUUCAGGGUGCUUUCCCUUUUAAUGACGUCGCUGACAUCAUUGGCGGAGACCACGGACUGUCCAUUGAUGCUGAUUAUGACGUCGUUUUCCUUGAGACCACCAGCUUCUGCUGGGGUAUCAGGAAUUACUUCAAUUAUAUACGCUCCUGAGAUCACGUCUGGGAAGUCCCGGUGCCGGUCCUUCAGCUCUUUGGCUUUGCUGGACGUGAGUGACAUCAUUCGGAUACCAAUAUACUUCUUCUUGGUGAUGGCUUUUCCUUUGGCCUGUCGGUCAUGGGACUCCGUGAGGAACUUUUUAAUCUUAUCAGAUGGGAUUGCAAAGGAGAUUCCAGCUGUCACUUUCAAAGUGUUAAUUCCAAUCACUUCACCGUCCAGGUUUACUAACGGGCCUCCCGAGUUUCCAUAGUUGAUGAUGGCGUCGGUCUGGAUGUAGUCCAUGUCUGAGUUGCGGAGCCCCAGCUCUUUGCCGCCUCGCUGGGUGGUGCUCACGAUCCCGGUGGUGACUGUGUUUUGAAGGGAAAACGGGCUUCCGAUGGCGACCACGAACUCUCCCGGCCGCAGCUCUGAGGAGCGGCCAAGCAGCAGGACAGGCAGCUUGCCCUGGUGGUCAAUUUUGAUGAGUGCGAUGUCUGCUUUCUCAUCCACAUCCUUGAUUUUGGCUUCGUAAGUGGCACCGUUCUUCAGCUCAACUUUGACCCGGUGCUUGUUGGUCACCACGUGGGCAUUUGUCACGAUCAGUCCAUCUUCCGACACAAUAAACCCAGACCCACUAGCCACCGGCACCUCUCGUUUAGAAAACGGAAGCUUGCGAAACAAUUCGAUAUGAACCACGGCAGGGGCGAUCUUCUCCACCACGUCCGCGAUAAAGUUAUAUUUAUGGCGCAAACUGUUGGGAUCUUCCUGCCCUUGGCCGCAGGCUCCGCGCUGCAGGACGAUGACCGGCGGCCGGUGCAGCCUCUCGGAGCGGCGGCUGGCGGCGCGCAGCUGGCACAGGUUGGCGUAGGUGUUGGCGUCGCUGCCGCACACCGGCUCGCUGCUGGCGCACACACAGAGGCCGGCCUGCGCGCGCCGCCGCACCGUGGCCGAGGCUGGCACCCCGAAGGGCACCACGCACUGCAGCCCCUCGCCGCACGGGCCCUCCUGCAGGCCGCACGCGGCGCCCUCGGGCGCGCCGCACACCUCGCAGCAGCCGCACGCGUCCCGGGCCCGGCCGCCCUCGCAGUGCUCCGGCUGCGGCGGGCAGCGCGCCGGCUCGCAGCGGUCUG